AUGAAGAACGUARCGAAAUGCGAUACUUGGUGUGAAUUGCAGAAUCCCGUGAACCAUCGAGUCUUUGAACGCAAGUUGCGCCUGAAGCCAUUAGGCUAAGGGCACGUCUGCCUGGGCGUCACGC
Molecule: ribosomal RNA, 124 nt
Filed under: Oreocarya confertiflora
Lineage: Eukaryota; Viridiplantae; Streptophyta; Magnoliopsida; Boraginales; Boraginaceae
Description: 5.8S ribosomal RNA
Rfam family: 5.8S ribosomal RNA
About the family: 5.8S ribosomal RNA (5.8S rRNA) is a component of the large subunit of the eukaryotic ribosome. It is transcribed by RNA polymerase I as part of the 45S precursor that also contains 18S and 28S rRNA.
Source: RNAcentral